UACGUAGGGUGCAAGCGUUGUCCGGAAUUAUUGGGCGUAAAGGGCUCGUAGGCGGUCCGUCACGUCGGGAGUGAAAACUUGGGGAUUAACCCCAAGCCUGCUUCCGAUACGGGCGGACUAGAGGUAGGCAGGGGAGAACGGAAUUCCUGGUGUAGCGGUGAAAUGCGCAGAUAUCAGGAGGAACACCGGUGGCGAAGGCGGUUCUCUGGGCCUUACCUGACGCUGAGGAGCGAAAGCGUGGGGAGCAAACAGG
This 253-nucleotide ribosomal RNA is filed under the name uncultured bacterium. RNAcentral describes it as "partial 16S ribosomal RNA". It matches the Rfam family "Bacterial small subunit ribosomal RNA", at positions 524 to 776 of the family's 1533-position model. The record is from RNAcentral.